This 254-nucleotide ribosomal RNA is filed under the name uncultured Acidobacteriota bacterium. Its description in RNAcentral is "uncultured Acidobacteria bacterium partial 16S ribosomal RNA". It matches the Rfam family "Bacterial small subunit ribosomal RNA", at positions 524 to 776 of the family's 1533-position model. Lineage: Bacteria; Pseudomonadati; Acidobacteriota. The record is from RNAcentral.
UACAGAGGUGGCAAGCGUUGUUCGGUAUUACUGGGCGUAAAGGGCGCGUAGGCGGCCGCCUCAGUCAGACGUGAAAUCCCCAAGCUUAACUUGGGAACUGCGUCUGAUACUGGGUGGCUGGAGUUCGGGAGAGGAAUGUGGAAUUCCAGGUGUAGCGGUGAAAUGCGUAGAUAUCUGGAGGAACACCGGUGGCGAAGGCGGCAUUCUGGACCGAAACUGACGCUGAGGGCGCGAAAGCCAGGGGAGCAAACGGG